CCCAGACUCCUACGGGAGGCAGCAGUGAGGAAUAUUGGUCAAUGGGCGGGAGCCUGAACCAGCCAAGCCGCGUGAGGGAAGAAGGUACAGCGUAUCGUAAACCUCUUUUGUCAGGGAACAAAGGCGGGGACUAGUCCCCGGAUGAGGGUACCUGAAGAAAAAGCAUCGGCUAACUCCGUGUCAGCAGCCGCGGUAAUACGGAGGAUGCGAGCGUUAUCCGGAUUUACUGGGUGUAAAGGGAGCGUAGACGGCAGCGCAAGUCUGAAGUGAAACCCCAUGGCUUAACCAUGGAACUGCUUUGGAAACUGUGCAGCUGGAGUGCAGGAUAGGUAAGCGGAAUUCCUAGUGUAGCGGUGAAAUGCGUAGAUAUUAGGAGGAACACCAGUGGCGAAGGCGGCUUACUGGACUGUAACUGACGUUGAGGCUCGAAAGCGUGGGGAGCAAACAGGAUUAGAUACCCGAGUA
This 465-nucleotide ribosomal RNA is filed under the name uncultured bacterium. RNAcentral describes it as "bacterial SSU rRNA". It matches the Rfam family "Bacterial small subunit ribosomal RNA", at positions 330 to 792 of the family's 1533-position model. The record is from RNAcentral.